AGAUAUUCAACACACAAGCAACACAUAAACAACAACACAAACAACUAAAACAAUUAAAAUACCAUUACUAUAAUUAAGAGAUUACAACGAUCAAAACAAUUUUGAACAUAUUAUGCAUCAUCCUGUGAACGUCUUUGUCAGUCUUAAUAUCCACCCAUUCACGCACUUCUCCAUUUUGGUUGAACGUGGACACAAACCACUGAAUUCUUCUAAUCCUUUCACCAUCUGCAAUUUCUUCAGCUAACCAACGGUUCAACGUCCGAUUAAGACUUUCAAACGAAUCUAUAUUCCAAAUUCGAAUCUUUAUCGGAGGUGCGACAACUGAAAAAAUUAAAUCGACAUUUCUCUUGUGAAUGUAUUCAGACAUGGUUAAAAAUAAAAAAAUUGAAGGAGAUUG
RNAcentral lists this long non-coding RNA (397 nucleotides) under Lathyrus oleraceus (garden pea). Its description in RNAcentral is "Pisum sativum (pea) long non-coding RNA (PSAT_LNC022018)". Lineage: Eukaryota; Viridiplantae; Streptophyta; Magnoliopsida; Fabales; Fabaceae. The record is from RNAcentral.